RNAcentral lists this ribosomal RNA (491 nucleotides) under uncultured bacterium. RNAcentral describes it as "partial 16S ribosomal RNA". It matches the Rfam family "Bacterial small subunit ribosomal RNA", at positions 29 to 507 of the family's 1533-position model. The record is from RNAcentral.
GUGAACGCUGGCGGUAGGCCUAACACAUGCCAGUCGAACGGCAGCACAGUAGGAGCUUGCUCUUACGGGUGGCGAGUGGCGGACGGGUGAGGAAUACAUCGGAAUCUACUUUUUCGUGGGGGAUAACGUAGGGAAACUUACGCUAAUACCGCAUACGACCUACGGGUGAAAGCAGGGGAUCUUCGGACCUUGCGCGAUUGAAUGAGCCGAUGUCGGAGUAGCUAGUUGGCGGGGUAAAGGCCCACCAAGGCGACGAUCCGUAGCUGGUCUGAGAGGAUGAUCAGCCACACUGGAACUGAGACACGGUCCAGACUCCUACGGGAGGCAGCAGUGGGGAAUAUUGGACAAUGGGCGCAAGCCUGAUCCAGCCAUACCGCGUGGGUGAAGAAGGCCUUCGGGUUGUAAAGCCCUUUUGUUGGGAAAGAAAAGCAGCAGGUUAAUACCCCGCUGUUCUGACGGUACCCAAAGAAUAAGCACCGGCUAACUUCGUG